Molecule: long non-coding RNA, 367 nt
Organism: Myxocyprinus asiaticus (Chinese sucker)
Lineage: Eukaryota; Metazoa; Chordata; Actinopteri; Cypriniformes; Catostomidae
Exons: 3
Source: RefSeq, a predicted model, not a curated record
AUUAUACUGUGGGGAGCUCUUGGGGGUUUUCUUCAUUCCACAUAAAGUUUGCAGUGGAGAAACAUCGCUGGAGUUUUUCUAUUAUUAAUCUUCUCCCCCUUUUCAGCCCCACCCAGUAGUGGUGAUCAGUAAGAUGACAAGGAGAGAUCUGGUCAGUCAAGAGCAGAGAGCCAAUCAGAACAGUGGGUGUAUACUGUCAAGGAUUAAAGGAGAUUAAAAGCUCUCUUCAUCCUCCACGCUCUUGCCCUCGUGGCUUGUAGCUUUCUCCAGUGCCCCUCAUGUCUUGUACAAUGUAGAGUCCAAGAAAGCUCGGAAUGCUUAGUUCCGAGGAAACUCUUCUCACGCUCUGCUCUAUGACUCACACACG